This 256-nucleotide non-coding RNA is filed under the name Clostridium neonatale. RNAcentral describes it as "T-box". It matches the Rfam family "T-box leader". From Rfam's summary of the family: Uncharged tRNA acts as the effector for transcription antitermination of genes in the T-box leader family. T-boxes are found upstream of many aminoacyl-tRNA synthetase genes and some amino acid biosynthetic genes usually in Gram-positive bacteria. Lineage: Bacteria; Bacillati; Bacillota; Clostridia; Eubacteriales; Clostridiaceae. The record is from RNAcentral.
UUAAAUGUAAUGAAAAGGAAAAGUAGAUAUAUAUUUGAUGCAAAGAGAAAGAAUGGUUGGUGUGAAUUCUUGUGAUUAAUAUAUUGAAUGUAGCCUUGGAACUUUUAAAGGAAAUCGUUUAGAGAGUAGAAUUAAACGGAUGCCUACCGUUAAAAAGGCAAUAAUAUCGAUAAAUAGUUAUCUGUAUUAUAUUAAAGUGUGUAUUUCUCAAUACAAAUUUAGGUGGUACCGCGGUGAUUCGUUCUUCGUCCUAUAC